AUGAAUAUUGGGCAAAACUGGUGAAAACCAGUGACGCAAAGCCAUGGGUCUAAAACAUUUGUCAAGAUUGCCAGGUUGCCAGG
RNAcentral lists this non-coding RNA (83 nucleotides) under Halanaerobium salsuginis. RNAcentral's name for it is "c-di-GMP-I riboswitch aptamer". It matches the Rfam family "c-di-GMP-I riboswitch aptamer". From Rfam's summary of the family: GEMM was predicted in a large-scale screen for bacterial structured RNA regulatory elements. Genes associated with GEMM are involved in a diverse array of functions, including chemotaxis regulation, signal transduction, secretion and chitin. The record is from Rfam by way of RNAcentral. Lineage: Bacteria; Bacillati; Bacillota; Clostridia; Halanaerobiales; Halanaerobiaceae.